Non-coding RNA from Mycena galopus ATCC 62051, 88 nucleotides. Lineage: Eukaryota; Fungi; Basidiomycota; Agaricomycetes; Agaricales; Mycenaceae. The record is from the annotation of a GenBank genome assembly.
GGCCGCCUGGCGAAAUGGCAUCGCGUCUGACUACGAUUGCGCGUAAUUGAAAAUCAGGAGAUUGUAGGUUCGACCCCUACGGUGGUCA